RNAcentral lists this ribosomal RNA (406 nucleotides) under uncultured bacterium. Its description in RNAcentral is "partial 16S ribosomal RNA". It matches the Rfam family "Bacterial small subunit ribosomal RNA", at positions 29 to 526 of the family's 1533-position model. The record is from RNAcentral.
AUUGAACGCUGGCGGCAGGCCUAACACAUGCAAGUCGAACGAGUGGCGGACGGGUGAGUAAUGUCUGGGAAACUGCCUGAUGGCGGGGGAUAACUACUGGACACGGUAGCUAAUACCGCAUACCAUCAGAUGUGCCCAGAUGGGAUUAGCUAGUUGGUGGGGUAACGGCUCACCAAGGCGACGAUCCCUAGCUGGUCUGAGAGUAUGACAGGCAAAACUGGAACUGAGACACGGUCCAGACUACGACGGGAGGCAGUAGUGGGGAAGAGUGCACAAGGGGCGAAAGCCGGAUGAAGCCAUGCCGCGUGUAUGAAGAAGGCCUUCGGGUUGUAAAGUACUUUCAGCGGGGAGGCGUUACCCGCAGAAGAAGCACCGGCUAACUCCGUGCCAGCAGCCGCGGUAAUUC